UUAAUGAUACUUCCGUAAUUCGCGGCCCGGCCAUAAAGAAGGCGGGGAGGUGAGAUUCCUAUGG
Molecule: non-coding RNA, 64 nt
Submitted as: unclassified sequences
Source: Rfam